GUCCAAGUCUCGCCAUUGGGCAUUCGCCUGUUGGAAGGUGUGAAUCAGCUGCACUUCAUCCCUGUGGACCUGGGCGCCCCCAUCGUGCAGUGUGCUGUGGCUGAUCCCUAUGUGGUCAUCAUGAGUGCUGAGGGACACGUUACCAUGUUCCUACUCAAGAGCGAUUCCUAUGGUGGCCGCCACCACCGGCUGGCACUACACAAGCCUCCACUACAUCAUGUAGGCCCUCUACCCUUGAUGCCCCUGUCUUUCCACUGCCUGUCUCCUGCCCUUGUCUGAACCCUGUCCCACUUCCUACAGCAGUCUAAGGUGAUUGCGCUCUGCCUGUACCGAGAUGUCAGUGGCAUGUUCACCACUGAGAGCCGC
Molecule: long non-coding RNA, 366 nt
Filed under: Rattus norvegicus (Norway rat)
Lineage: Eukaryota; Metazoa; Chordata; Mammalia; Rodentia; Muridae
Description: long non-coding RNA NONRATT027064
Source: RNAcentral